Molecule: small nucleolar RNA, 132 nt
Organism: Drosophila bipectinata
Lineage: Eukaryota; Metazoa; Arthropoda; Insecta; Diptera; Drosophilidae
Product: small nucleolar RNA psi18S-841/snoR66
Source: RefSeq, a predicted model, not a curated record
GGCAAAGGCAGCCUGUGUCACACUCUGCCCCAAGUGAUGACACUGUUUUAGUUUGCCAGAUCGAUGAGGUGCGUCUAUCCAUGUGGUCUUGCCCUAGCCUAUAGAUUACAUUGAAUUAGCAUCAGACAUUAC